UUUUACACAUUUUACACAUUAACUAAAGAGUUCUGAUUGUGGAUUGUUACUUGUUAUCACUAUAGUUUCUACUUCUGAAGUACUUUGUUUGCACUCAGGAUGAGCAGGACAGCAGAGUGAUCUGUGAUAAUGUAGAGAAUCACCAAGGCCCUGCCCAGCACCACGGUCAGAAAAAAAGAGGAGGAAGAGGAAGAAGAAGUGAUGUCUUCAACAGUCAAAGAAGCAGUGAAGAAGAUAGUGUGUGAGGAGAGGACAGAGGAAUUUUACACCAGCUUUAACUGUACAUGAAAAGAAGCUGUAGCAGUAACACGCCUCCACUGAUGUGUGUGCAUUUC
Molecule: long non-coding RNA, 335 nt
Organism: Gouania willdenowi (blunt-snouted clingfish)
Lineage: Eukaryota; Metazoa; Chordata; Actinopteri; Blenniiformes; Gobiesocidae
Source: Ensembl